This is a non-coding RNA of Phrynosoma platyrhinos (Desert horned lizard), 72 nucleotides long. The record is from the annotation of a GenBank genome assembly. Lineage: Eukaryota; Metazoa; Chordata; Lepidosauria; Squamata; Phrynosomatidae.
GGUAGUGUGGCAUAAUGGAUUGAGUAUUGGACUAUGACUCUGGAGGCAAGAGUUCGAAUCCCAUCUUGGCCA